Cyprinus carpio (common carp) is the source of this 1202-nucleotide long non-coding RNA. RefSeq lists it as uncharacterized. The record is from RefSeq and is a predicted model, not a curated record. NCBI's taxonomy places the organism in Eukaryota, Metazoa, Chordata, Actinopteri, Cypriniformes, Cyprinidae.
AGAUUGAGAAAUUGAAAGCUGAAGCUACCAUGGAAAGGAAUGAUUUUGCAUCUCUUAUAGAGGGGAUGGAAAACCAAGCAGAUGCUGUAUGAAAAGUGCUACCCAAUGCUCCCUUUGUACCGCCUGGAGCCAUAUUGCAUCCCUCUGCAGCAGUUCUGAGACCGCAUCAAAGACCAGACCACAGCCAAUCUACAUUGAGAGUUUGAAGAGUGCAACAUGACAGUACAUCAUUGCAACGAUUGACAGUGGAUGAGGGCCUGACGUGUUGUGGACAACAUAUUCUAGGUGUGAAACUUCUGUCCACCACAGAUUAGUUCUGUCUUCACUUUCUAAGACUGGGAUAUUGAAACACCACAUUCUCUUCCUUUUAAAACUUGACGUGCCUACUUACUGUGUUGCCUCUUUUGUGGCCCAAAUGUAUUCUUCAUCAAAUACAAAUGGUGGAUGUAACAAGAAGUAUUACUUCACAAUUAGUACACACUUAAAAUGUUAUAAUUAUAAGAGUGAUUGUCAUUGAGAACAAUUUAAAAAUAUGUGCCUGAAUGUUUGUCUGAACUAAAAUGUUUAUAUUUAUAUGUAUCAAAGUAUCUGACUUUCUUAUCAGAUUAAGUUGAUCUUAUUUUUGAGAAAUGUUAUCCUCUGGUCUUGUUUAGUGUAAUUGAUGUUGGCAACACUUUUCAAUGAAUACUGUGGUUAAUAGCUAGUGCAUUACAAACAUACUAUACAUUUGUAAAAUUAACUGUCACUGACUAACUUAAAAUGUUUAUUUGUUGUCUGAUUUGGAAAGUUUUAUCUUGUAUCUGACAUUUCUGCUAGUCUUGACCGUAUGAUUUUCAAUCAUCCCAGGUGUAGUUGAUGUUGGUAACACUUUGUAAUGUAUACUGUAUUGUAUCUUAUAGUUGUAGUGCAUUACAAGGCAUCUGUGUCAUUUAAUCCUCUAAAUUUAGUUUAUGAACAUUUUGAGAACAUUUUGUUGUGCCUCUGUGCAUGUUCUCUACCCUGACAACAUUUGACAAAUUAAAUUGCUAAAAUUUUUUACAUCUGUCUGUUUUAUUUCAGUUUCAGUAUUAUUUUUGUCAUAUUAACACAUUAAUUAGCAGUUUCUGAUCAUUUUGAGUUAUACACAUAAUGUGUUUAAAUGACACAUUGUGUGUUAAAUUACAUUACACAGUAGAUGUGUGAUCCAUCUUAACACACAAACU